Molecule: non-coding RNA, 73 nt
Organism: Sphaeramia orbicularis (orbiculate cardinalfish)
Lineage: Eukaryota; Metazoa; Chordata; Actinopteri; Kurtiformes; Apogonidae
Source: the annotation of a RefSeq genome assembly
GGUUCCAUGGUGUAGUGGUUAUCACGUCUGCUUUACACGCAGAAGGUCCUGGGUUCAAUCCCCAGUGGAACCA